This 195-nucleotide unclassified non-coding RNA is filed under the name plant metagenome. RNAcentral describes it as "partial contains small subunit ribosomal RNA, internal transcribed spacer 1, and 5.8S ribosomal RNA". The record is from RNAcentral.
UCUCCGUUGGUGAACCAGCGGAGGGAUCAUUACCGAGUUUACAACUCCCAAACCCCUGUGAACAUACCAUUUGUUGCCUCGGCGGUGCCUGCUUCGGCAGCCCGCCAGGGGACCCAAACCCUUGAUUUUAUACAGUAUCUUCUGAGUAAAUGAUUAAAUAAAUCAAAACUUUCAACAACGGAUCUCUUGGUUCUG